AUACUUACCUGGCAGGGAAGAUACCAUGAUCAUGAAGGUGGUUUUCCCAAGGCAAGACUUAUCCAUUUCACGCAACAAAAGUUGACAGGGCACCCGCCGUGUGCUGGACCCUGCAGGAAGGC
This 122-nucleotide small nuclear RNA is filed under the name Tursiops truncatus (common bottlenose dolphin). Its description in RNAcentral is "U1 spliceosomal RNA (ENSTTRG00000024475.1)". It matches the Rfam family "U1 spliceosomal RNA", at positions 1 to 101 of the family's 166-position model. From Rfam's summary of the family: U1 is a small nuclear RNA (snRNA) component of the spliceosome (involved in pre-mRNA splicing). Its 5' end forms complementary base pairs with the 5' splice junction, thus defining the 5' donor site of an intron. There are significant differences in sequence and secondary structure between metazoan and yeast U1 snRNAs, the latter being much longer (568 nucleotides as compared to 164 nucleotides in human). The record is from RNAcentral. Lineage: Eukaryota; Metazoa; Chordata; Mammalia; Artiodactyla; Delphinidae.